CGGACGGGUGAGUAACACGUGGAUAACCUACCUAUAAGACUGGGAUAACUUCGGGAAACCGGAGCUAAUACCGGAUAAUAUUUUGAACCGCAUGGUUCAAAAGUGAAAGACGGUCUUGUUGUCACUUAUAGAUGGAUCCGCGCUGCAUUAGCUAGUUGGUAAUGUAACGGCUUACCAAGGCAACGAUGCAUAGCCGACCUGAGAGGGUGAUCGGCCACACUGGAACUGAGACACGGUCCAG
Molecule: ribosomal RNA, 241 nt
Filed under: uncultured Staphylococcus sp.
Lineage: Bacteria; Bacillati; Bacillota; Bacilli; Caryophanales; Staphylococcaceae
Description: partial 16S ribosomal RNA
Rfam family: Bacterial small subunit ribosomal RNA
Source: RNAcentral